RNAcentral lists this small RNA (831 nucleotides) under Pongo abelii (Sumatran orangutan). RNAcentral's name for it is "processed transcript". Lineage: Eukaryota; Metazoa; Chordata; Mammalia; Primates; Hominidae. The record is from RNAcentral.
GUGCGGCUCGCGGGGCAGCUCGGCAGCAUGGCGUCCGUGGCGCUGAGCGAGGCAGAGAAGGUGUACAUCGUGCACGGCGUCCAGUUCAGCCAGUGCUACCCCUGAAUUUGAAGGUAGAGGAGGUGAUGACCUUGGCACCGAGAUCGCUAACACCCUCUAUCGGAUAUUUAACAAUAAAAGCAGUGUCGACCUAAAGACCCUCUGCAUUAGUCCUCGGGAGCACUGCUGGAUUCUCUAUGUGGAUGUGCUGCUGCUGGAAUGUGGUGGAAAUUUGUUUGAUGCCAUUUCCAUUGCUGUAAAGGCUGCUCUCUUCAAUACAAGGAUACCAAGGGUUCGAGUUCUGGAGGAUGAAGAGGGGUCGAAGGACAUUGAAUUGUCUGAUGACCCUUAUGACUGCAUACGACUAAGUGUGGAGAAUAUCCCCUGCAUUGUCACUCUGUGCAAGAUUGGCUAUCGGCAUGUGGUGGAUGCUACUCUUCAGGAGGAGGCCUGCUCGCUGGCCAGCUUGCUGGUGUCGGUGACCAGCAAGGGAGUUGUGACGUGCAUGAGGAAAGUGGGGAAGGGCAGCCUGGACCCAGAGAGCAUCUUCGAGAUGAUGGAGACUGGCAAGCGUGUGGGCAAGGUGCUGCAUGCCUCCUUGCAGAGUGUUCUGCACAAGGAAGAAAGCCUGGGGCCCAAGAGACAGAAAGUUGGAUUCCUGGGAUGAUUUGCACAUCAACUGCUCAACUGUGGAUUGUUUUUUAUUUUUCCUUUUAAACCGGGGAACUGAAACUCCUAAAUCUUAAAACGCCCUGGGGAAGGAGCUGAUUCAUGAAGGAGAGCAUUUCAACC